This 1415-nucleotide ribosomal RNA is filed under the name uncultured bacterium. Its description in RNAcentral is "bacterial SSU rRNA". It matches the Rfam family "Bacterial small subunit ribosomal RNA". The record is from RNAcentral.
AAAACGUACGCUGGCGGCACGCCUAACACAUGCAAGUCGAACGAAGUAGCAAUACUUAGUGGCAGACGGGUGAGUAACAUGUGGGUAUCUGCCCUAUGGCCUGGAAUAACACGAGGAAACUUGUGCUAAUACCGGAUAAGUCUUUACAGAGAAAGCUUUAUGCACCAUUGGAUGAGCCCGCACUUGAUUAGUUUGUUGGUGGGGUAAUGGCCUACCAAGACUGUGAUCAAUAGCUGAUUUGAGAGGAUGAUCAGCCACAUUGGGACUGAGACACGGCCCAAACUCCUACGGGAGGCAGCAGUGGGGAAUCUUGCACAAUGGAGGAAACUCUGAUGCAGCGAUGCCGCGUGAGUGAAGAAGGCCCUUGGGUUGUAAAGCUCUUUCGUCGGGGAAGAAAAUGACUGUACCCGAAUAAGAAGGUCCGGCUAACUUCGUGCCAGCAGCCGCGGUAAUACGAAGGGACCUAGCGUAGUUCGGAAUUACUGGGCUUAAAGAGUUCGUAGGUGGUUGAAAAAGUUGGUGGUGAAAUCCCAGAGCUUAACUCUGGAACUGCCAUCAAAACUUUUCAGCUAGAGUAUGAUAGAGGAAAGCAGAAUUUCUAGUGUAGAGGUGAAAUUCGUAGAUAUUAGAAAGAAUACCAAUUGCGAAGGCAGCUUUCUGGAUCAUUACUGACACUGAGGAACGAAAGCAUGGGUAGCGAAGAGGAUUAGAUACCCUCGUAGUCCAUGCCGUAAACGAUGUGUGUUAGACGUUGGAAAUUUAUUUUCAGUGUCGCAGCGAAAGCGAUAAACACACCGCCUGGGGAGUACGACCGCAAGGUUAAAACUCAAAUGAAUUGACGGGGACCCGCACAAGUAGUGGAGCAUGUGGUUUAAUUCGAAGAUACGCGCAGAACCUUACCAACACUUGACAUGUUCGUCGCGACUCUAAGAGAUUAGAGUUUUCGGUUCGGCCGGACGAAACACAGGUGCUGCAUGGCUGUCGUCAGCUCGUGUCGUGAGAUGUUGGGUUAAGUCCCGCAACGAGCGCAACCCUCACUUUUAGUUGCCAUCAUUAAGUUGGGCACUCUGAAAGAACUGCCAGUGAUAAGCUGGAGGAAGGUGGGGAUGACGUCAAGUCCUCAUGGCCCUUACGUGUUGGGCUACACACGUGCUACAAUGGUAUCUACAACAGGAAGCAAGACGGCGACGUUGAGCAAAUCCUUAAAAGAUACCUCAGUUCGGAUUGCACUCUGCAACUCGAGUGCAUGAAGCUGGAAUUACUAGUAAUCGUGGAUCAGCGUGCCACGGUGAAUGCGUUCCCGGGUCUUGUACACACCGCCCGUCACACCAUGGGAGUUGGUUCUACCUUAAGGCAAGGUUUUAAACCCUUGACCACGGUAUAGUCAGCGACUGGGGUGAAGUCGUAACAAGGUA